Molecule: long non-coding RNA, 569 nt
Organism: Bacillus rossius redtenbacheri
Lineage: Eukaryota; Metazoa; Arthropoda; Insecta; Phasmatodea; Bacillidae
Exons: 3
Source: RefSeq, a predicted model, not a curated record
GCGUCACUUCUGUCGCAGUAUCAAGAUGGACUUCGUUUGUUCGGAACGCACGUGCUAAAGGUCUACUGGUUUUUCCCUACGAUCAAUGCAGAAGCUUGGAAGAUCUGAACAUUUCUACUACAUUUUCACCUGGAAACUCUAUAAGAAUUUCAGGCACAGGAGUUGGCACUUGGAAAGAACUGACAUUGUCUCGCCAUCCGAAGCCCGACCGUUACAGUGACAGCAGAAGUGCAACAUCUAAUGCUGUACAUAAAUACUACCACAAUGCCACUUGGAACAUACUGUUGUUAGUAUGGUUCAUCUUGAUUGAUACCUGAAAAGACUUAAAUUAAUAUAUUAUGAUUACGUGUAGUAACUAAGUCACAAGAAAGAAUUCCAUGAAGUUUGAUGACAAAACAAAGCUUGCACUUAAAAUACCUAAACCAAAUACAUAUGUAAGAAAGCUAAAUCAAUGGAUGUUUUAUUGUUAUUGUUAAUUACCAUCAAAAAUGUUUAAAGAGUAUUUAAUAUUUCAUAGAAUUCAGAAGAAUUGUAGCUAACAUAAAUGGCAUUUGUAAAUAUAAUACACA